This 497-nucleotide ribosomal RNA is filed under the name uncultured bacterium. Its description in RNAcentral is "partial 16S ribosomal RNA". It matches the Rfam family "Bacterial small subunit ribosomal RNA", at positions 28 to 507 of the family's 1533-position model. The record is from RNAcentral.
GACGAACGCUGGCGGCGUGCCUAAUACAUGCAAGUUGAGCGAUGAAGUUUGGUGCUUGCGCCAAUUUGAAGAGCAGCGAACGGGUGAGUAACGCGUGGGGAAUCUGCCUUUGAGCGGGGGACAACAUUUGGAAACGAAUGCUAAUACCGCAUAACAACUUUAAACAUAAGUUUUAAGUUUGAAAGAUGCAAUUGCAUCACUCAAAGAUGAUCCCGCGUUGUAUUAGCUAGUUGGUGAGGUAAAGGCUCACCAAGGCGAUGAUACAUAGCCGACCUGAGAGGGUGAGCGGCCACAUUGGGACGGGGACACGGCCCAAACUCCUACGGGAGGCAGCAGUAGGGAAUCUUCGGCAAAGGACGAAAGUCGGACCGAGCAACGCCGCGUGAGUGAAGAAGGCUUUCGGAUCGUAAAACUCUGUUGGUAGAGAAGAACGUUGGGGAGAGUGGAAAGCUCAUCAAGUGACGGUAACUACCCAGAAAGGGACGGCUAACUACGUG